CACGACAUCGUGGAAAUAUCAAAUCUUCGGAGCCUUGGGAUGAGCCUGCGUCUGAUUAGGUAGUUGGCGGAGUAAUAGCCACAAGCUACGAUCAGUAGCUGGGUCUGAGAGGAUGAUCAGCCACACUGGAACUGAGACACGGUCCAGACUCCUACGGGAGGCAGCAGUAAGGAAUAUUGCUCAAUGGGGGAAACCCUGAAGCAGCAACGCCGCGUGAAGGAUGAAAUACUUUUGUAUGUAAACUUCUGUAAGAUGGGAAAAAUAUUCUCCUCGGGAGAAUUGAUUGUACCAUCAGAGUAAGCCCCGGCUAACUACGUG
RNAcentral lists this ribosomal RNA (318 nucleotides) under uncultured bacterium. RNAcentral's name for it is "bacterial SSU rRNA". It matches the Rfam family "Bacterial small subunit ribosomal RNA", at positions 184 to 507 of the family's 1533-position model. The record is from RNAcentral.